RNAcentral lists this small nuclear RNA (162 nucleotides) under Sciurus vulgaris (Eurasian red squirrel). RNAcentral's name for it is "U1 spliceosomal RNA (ENSSVLG00005020198.1)". It matches the Rfam family "U1 spliceosomal RNA". Rfam says of the family: U1 is a small nuclear RNA (snRNA) component of the spliceosome (involved in pre-mRNA splicing). Its 5' end forms complementary base pairs with the 5' splice junction, thus defining the 5' donor site of an intron. Lineage: Eukaryota; Metazoa; Chordata; Mammalia; Rodentia; Sciuridae. The record is from RNAcentral.
AUACUUACCUGGCAGGGGAAAGACCAUGAUCACGAAGGUGGUUUUCCCAGGGCGAGGCUUAUCCAUUGCACUCCGGCUGCGCUGACCCCUGCGAUUUCCCCAAAUGCGGGAAACUCGACUGCAUAAUUUGUGGUAGUGGGGACUGCGUUCGCGCUUUCCCCU